This 231-nucleotide unclassified non-coding RNA is filed under the name Hevea brasiliensis (rubber tree). The record is from RNAcentral. Lineage: Eukaryota; Viridiplantae; Streptophyta; Magnoliopsida; Malpighiales; Euphorbiaceae.
CGACAGACACCUGCUCAAAAGAGCCCUGAUUCUUUUCCUUGUUCUCACACUUUAUACAAGGAGCUAAAGGAGCCUUUUGAAAUGGACUACUGGAGACAAAUUUGAGCUUCCAUAUUGAAACAGGAGUAGUACCUGUAAACAAGGUCUUCCGAUAGGGGCAGCAAAUAGUUGGCACAAAUCCAUCAGUAGAGGCUACAAUUCUCAGUCCUCUAUCUUGAUACAAGGAAGUUG